UGGGGAAUAUUGCACAAUGGGGGAAACCCUGAUGCAGCGACGCCGCGUGAACGAAGAAGGUAUUCGUAUCGUAAAGUUCUGUCCUAUGGGAAGAUAAUGACAGUACCAUAGAAGAAAGCUCCGGCUAAAUACGUGCCAGCAGCCGCGGUAAUACGUAUGGAGCGAGCGUUGUCCGGAAUUAUUGGGCGUAAAGGGUACGCAGGCGGUUUAAUAAGUCGAAUGUUAAAGAUCGGGGCUCAACCCCGCAAAGCAUUGGAAACUGAUAAACUUGAGUAGUGGAGAGGAAAGUGGAAUUCCUAGUGUAGUGGUUAAAUACGUAGAUAUUAGGAGGAAUACCAGUAGCGAAGGCGACUUUCUGGACACAAACUGACGCUGAGGUACGAAAGCGUGGGGAGCAAACAGG
Molecule: ribosomal RNA, 403 nt
Filed under: bacterium
Lineage: Bacteria
Description: partial 16S ribosomal RNA
Rfam family: Bacterial small subunit ribosomal RNA
Source: RNAcentral